GCCCCGGUAGCUCAGUUGGAUAGAGCAUCCCCCUCCUAAGGGGAAGGUCACACGUUCGAAUCGUGUUCGGGGCACCA
Molecule: transfer RNA, 77 nt
Filed under: Candidatus Competibacteraceae bacterium
Lineage: Bacteria; Pseudomonadati; Pseudomonadota; Gammaproteobacteria; Candidatus Competibacteraceae
Also listed under: 2 other names
Description: tRNA-Arg
Rfam family: tRNA
About the family: Transfer RNA (tRNA) molecules are approximately 80 nucleotides in length. Their secondary structure includes four short double-helical elements and three loops (D, anti-codon, and T loops). Further hydrogen bonds mediate the characteristic L-shaped molecular structure. tRNAs have two regions of fundamental functional importance: the anti-codon, which is responsible for specific mRNA codon recognition, and the 3' end, to which the tRNAs corresponding amino acid is attached (by aminoacyl-tRNA synthetases). tRNAs cope with the degeneracy of the genetic code in two manners: having more than one tRNA (with a specific anti-codon) for a particular amino acid; and 'wobble' base-pairing, i.e. permitting non-standard base-pairing at the 3rd anti-codon position.
Source: RNAcentral